GACGAACGCUGGCGGCGUGCUUAACACAUGCAAGUCGAACGGAAAGGCCCUGCUUUUGUGGGGUGCUCGAGUGGCGAACGGGUGAGUAACACGUGAGUAACCUGCCCUUGACUUUGGGAUAACUUCAGGAAACUGGGGCUAAUACCGGAUAGGAGCUCCUGCUGCAUGGUGGGGGUUGGAAAGUUUCGGCGGUUGGGGAUGGACUCGCGGCUUAUCAGCUUGUUGGUGGGGUAGUUGCUUACCAAGGCUUUGACGGGUAGCCGGCCUGAGAGGGUGACCGGCCACAUUGGGACUGAGAUGCGGCCCAGACUCCUACGGGAGGCAGCAGUGGGGAAUAUUGCACAAUGGGCGGAAGCCUGAUGCAGCAACGCCGCGUGCGGGAUGACGGCCUUCGGGUUGUAAACCGCUUUCGCCUGUGACGAAGCGUGAGUGACGGUAAUGGGUAAAGAAGCACCGGCUAACUACGUG
RNAcentral lists this ribosomal RNA (468 nucleotides) under uncultured bacterium. Its description in RNAcentral is "partial 16S ribosomal RNA". It matches the Rfam family "Bacterial small subunit ribosomal RNA", at positions 28 to 507 of the family's 1533-position model. The record is from RNAcentral.